This 443-nucleotide ribosomal RNA is filed under the name uncultured bacterium. Its description in RNAcentral is "bacterial SSU rRNA". It matches the Rfam family "Bacterial small subunit ribosomal RNA", at positions 958 to 1397 of the family's 1533-position model. The record is from RNAcentral.
AACGCGAAGAACCUUACCUGGGCUCGAACGGCUUUGGAAACGGGUGGAAACACCUUCUUCCCGCAAGGGACCGGAGUCGAGGUGCUGCAUGGCUGUCGUCAGCUCGUGUCGUGAGAUGUUGGGUUAAGUCCCGCAACGAGCGCAACCCUUGUCCUGUGUUGCCACUCCCCUUAAAAGGAAGCACUCGCAGGAGACCGCCAGCGAUAAGCUGGAGGAAGGUGGGGAUGAUGUCAAGUCAUCAUGGCCUUUAUGUCCAGGGCUACACACGUGCUACAAUGGACGGUACAAAGCGCUGCUAACCCGCGAGGGGGAGCCAAUCGCAAAAAACCGUUCUCAGUUCGGAUCGCAGGCUGCAACCCGCCUGCGUGAAGCUGGAAUCGCUAGUAAUGGCGUAUCAGAACGACGCCGUGAAUACGUUCCCGGGCCUUGUACACACCGCACGA